This 199-nucleotide microRNA precursor is filed under the name Oryza meridionalis. RNAcentral's name for it is "MIR812 microRNA precursor family". It matches the Rfam family "MIR812 microRNA precursor family". The record is from Rfam by way of RNAcentral. Lineage: Eukaryota; Viridiplantae; Streptophyta; Magnoliopsida; Poales; Poaceae.
UUCAAGUGCAAUCAUGAUUUUUUUUUUUUGCCUAACUUUAAUCGUACUUCUUAUUUAAAACUUUUUUAUAAUUAGUAUUUUAUUGUUAUAAGAUAAUAAAGUAUGAAUAAUACUUUAUACUGUUUUUAAAAUUUAUUAAUUUUUUUAAAAUAAGAGAAACAAUUAAAGUUGAACACAGAAAAUUAUGCUUAAAAUUAUG